UAGCCUGGAAGGGUAUACCCAAUAAGUUGCAAACUUAUUAAAGCGCAAGCCCAAGCUAU
This 59-nucleotide transfer RNA is filed under the name Eulimnogammarus verrucosus. RNAcentral describes it as "tRNA-Cys". Lineage: Eukaryota; Metazoa; Arthropoda; Malacostraca; Amphipoda; Eulimnogammaridae. The record is from RNAcentral.